GAGCUCUGGUAGUAUGGAGUUACCCUUUCUUCUCCUCCUCCUCCUUCCUGAAAGCUGGCCGACUGUCAUCUCAAUUCCACAACCGCACCAAUGGACCAGCUACACUCUUCCGUUGCCCAGAGUUAAUUGAACGCUGAGCAGUGAACUCCUUAGUUAUCAGCUGAAAGGGAUUGGCUGUGCAACCGUGACUAAGGGUAACAACAUCGGUGGUGAACUUUGACUAGACUUGGGGGAUUAGUAUUGAUUAACCACCGCAAGUCCAAAGGGGAAAACCUAGCAAGAACCACAAAGAUUACUUCUAUGUGUGUGUGUGUGUGGUGGUGACCAAGAGAUAUAAAUACUCUGGAAAAGGACACAUCUGCCUUGUUCUUGCCUAACAGCCUGUAGCAAGUCAGAACGCUAACAAUCAGCAUUAAUUACUAGCGGGUUAGGGCAUUCACUGUCGACCGCUCAGACCAGCUGCAGCUAGCAGUUUCAAAUAUUUACAUGCCAGUUGAGAGAAAGAGAGACAAAAAGAGAGAGAGAGAGAGAGAGAGAGAGAAAGACUGACUCACCCAAGUGACAAUGGAGAAGAAGGAGAAGGCCACUACGGCUCGGGCGGCGUCGACAGGGAUGCCUGCUACUUCGGUGGUGUGAGACCACUGAUUGGUCAGGACACAGAAGCAGAUGAACCAGAACAACGUCCACACUCCUGACAGAGGAGGGAAAGUCAAGUUUAUGGGGUUGACUCGUAGUGGAUGUGGACAGCCUUAUGAAGCCGACCCGUAGUGGAUGUGGACAGCCUUAUGAAGCCGACCCGUAGUGGAUGUGGACAGCCUUAUGAAGCCGACCCGUAUUGGAUGUGGACAGCCUUAUGAAGCCGACCCGUAUUGGAUGUG
Long non-coding RNA from Oncorhynchus gorbuscha (pink salmon), 878 nucleotides. RefSeq lists it as uncharacterized. The transcript is spliced from 3 exons. Lineage: Eukaryota; Metazoa; Chordata; Actinopteri; Salmoniformes; Salmonidae. The record is from RefSeq and is a predicted model, not a curated record.